AAAUUGAAGAGUUUGAUCAUGGCUCAGAUUGAACGCUGGCGGCAGGCCUAACACAUGCAAGUCGAACGGUAACAGGAAGCAGCUUGCUGCUUUGCUGACGAGUGGCGGACGGGUGAGUAAUGUCUGGGAAACUGCCUGAUGGAGGGGGAUAACUACUGGAAACGGUAGCUAAUACCGCAUAACGUCGCAAGACCAAAGAGGGGGACCUUAGGGCCUCUUGCCAUCGGAUGUGCCCAGAUGGGAUUAGCUAGUAGGUGGGGUA
RNAcentral lists this ribosomal RNA (262 nucleotides) under Escherichia coli. RNAcentral describes it as "partial 16S ribosomal RNA". It matches the Rfam family "Bacterial small subunit ribosomal RNA", at positions 1 to 259 of the family's 1533-position model. The record is from RNAcentral. Lineage: Bacteria; Pseudomonadati; Pseudomonadota; Gammaproteobacteria; Enterobacterales; Enterobacteriaceae.